RNAcentral lists this ribosomal RNA (515 nucleotides) under uncultured bacterium. RNAcentral's name for it is "partial 16S ribosomal RNA". It matches the Rfam family "Bacterial small subunit ribosomal RNA", at positions 28 to 523 of the family's 1533-position model. The record is from RNAcentral.
GAUGAACGCUGGCGGCGUGCCUAAUACAUGCAAGUCGAGCGAAUGGAUUAAGAGCUUGCUCUUAUGAAGUUAGCGGCGGACGGGUGAGUAACACGUGGGUAACCUGCCCAUAAGACUGGGAUAACUCCGGGAAACCGGGGCUAAUACCGGAUGACAUUUUGAACCGCAUGGUUCGAAAUUGAAAGGCGGCUUCGGCUGUCACUUAUGGAUGGACCCGCGUCGCAUUAGCUAGUUGGUGAGGUAACGGCUCACCAAGGCAACGAGGCGUAGCCGACCUGAGAGGGUGAUCGGCCAGACUGGGACUGAGACACGGCCCAGACUCCUACGGGAGGCAGCAGUAGGGAAUCUUCCGCAAUGGACGAAAGUCUGACGGAGCAACGCCGCGUGAGUGAGGAAGGCUUUCGGGUCGUAAAACUCUGUUGUUAGGGAAGAACAAGUGCUAGUUGAAUAAGCUGGCACCUUGACGGUACCUAACCAGAAAGCCACGGCUAACUACGUGCCAGCCGCCGCCGUAA